This is a non-coding RNA of Sus scrofa (pig), 6536 nucleotides long. NCBI's taxonomy places the organism in Eukaryota, Metazoa, Chordata, Mammalia, Artiodactyla, Suidae. The record is from RefSeq and is a predicted model, not a curated record.
CUCAGAUUAAGAUGCCAAACUGAAGUUUUACUGAUAAUAAUUACUAAGAGCAAUUCACUCAUGUAACCUGGGCAGUUAUUAUGUGUCAAGUAUUGCAACCAAAAGCUAAACAUGAAUUAUCUCAUUUAAUCCUUACAAAGAAAGCCCUGGCUCCCUCUCCUUCCCCAGUCUCUACACAGUAGUAGCCAGAGAGCUCUUUUAAAAUGUAAAUGGAGUUAAGUGCUGCUCUUGAGUGAAGUCCUCCAGGGGCUUCCCAAAGUUGUGAGCUCCGACUGCUCCCCAUGGCCCACAGGCCAGCAGCACCUGGCCUACCUAUUGCCUGUUUACUCCCACCCGCCUGCUUCACUGUCCUCCAACCAAGAGCCCAGUGCUCUGCUUCAUCCACCCUCUAAGACAUUUGCACCUCAGGGCCUUUGCUCGUGUUUCUCCCUCUGCCUGGAACAUCCGGCCUUUGCCUGGCUAAUUUUUUUUUCUUUCUUCAACUUACAUAUCUCCAUCUCAUGGAGACCUUCCUUCAAACCAAUCAAAUCACCCUAUUUUCCUUCAUAACACUUAACAUAAUGUGUGAGUGCUUAUUUUUUGUUUGCUUACUGGGUCAUUUCCCUUCCUGAGCAACAGGAGCCAGCAGGACAGGAACACACCCUCAGGGUUGCUACACACACACACACACACACACACACGUAGAGCUUCCUCAGGACAUGCAGUGCUAUUUGUGAAUCAAUAGAGAAGCACUCUGGCGGGUAGAUACUUUUACUAUCCUCACUUUAUCAAUGAAGAAACUGAGGCGAGGGUUAUUGAAUAACUUGCCAAAGUCCUACAGCUGGAAGGGACGAUGGCUAUUCCGGGUCACCAGUUUUGACUGAAACCAAAAACAACAUGACAAACACAUGUGAUCAUGAAGAAAUGUUAAGACCAAGUAGGUUUCUAUAGAAAAGGAACUUCGAAAAAUUUCCACUUACAGAAGGGUAAUAUUUCCAAAUACAUCAGCGAUGAAUUCAUCAUCUUGCACAACUAUCCAGCCACACAGGUUAACAUUAAAGUAUUCUGUGGCUUCAGAUACAAUGUUUCCUACUAUUUCUGAUUUUUUUUAAGGUUUCAAAGUAUUUGAGGAUUCAGACUAUGUCUCUUCAAAUAGCACAGGCUGACGGGCAUUCCAUCCAGUCAUUUCUGCUCUUACCUAAGGAAACCAGCAGAACUUGGUUUUAUUGCACAAUAGUAGAAGCCAAAUGUAGCCACAAACCCAGAGACCGAUUCUUCUGGUACAGUUGGCCCUCCCUAGGCAUGGGUUCUGUGUUCUUAGAUUCAACCAACCGCAAAUCAAAAAUAUUCAGGGGGAAAAAAAGAAUUCCCGAAAGUUCUAAAAAGCACAAUUUGAAUUUGUUCCCUGCAGACAACAAUUUACAUGGCUUUUACAUGGUAUUAGGUAUUACAACUAAUUACAGAUGAUUUAAAGUUUAAGGGAGGAUGUGUUGGGUUAUAUAUGGAAACAUUUUGUCAUUUUAUAGAAGGGACUUGAGCAUUUGCAGAUACCCUGGGGUUAGUCCCCCCCUCAGAAUCCAAGGGGUGACUGUACUUCUGAAUCUUUGAAUUAAUCAUAAUAGAACAGGAGAGAAGAGGGCAGGGCACAACCUUUAACGAAUGACAGAGCCAUUGAGGACAAGACAUAAACUGGUUGGAACCAAGUAGGUCCAAGUUGGGGGAUGGCAGGACUUCCAGUGGACUCAAGUCUCACUGUACCCUCACUGUAAUAUAUUAGCAUAGGCUACAUGACACACCUACAGGUGCCAGGACAGCUCCAAGACCAACCAUAAAAGACCAAAAAGUGGGCAGUGACCCUAUUCCUGGAAAUCUCCAGCCCUUUUCCAAAUGGUUGGAAUAAUCCUCCCAUGCAUUAGCUCUGAAGUUACCCAGCCCAUGAAAACCAACCACCCCAGAUUUGGGGGCCACUCUCUUGCCUUUGGAAACAGAGCACGUUCUGUCUAUGGAACGUGUACCUCCCAGGCUGCUCUCACCUUCUGAGAUGAUCCACACUCUCUCUCUCACUAAAUCCACUUCUUACCUAUCAUGUUGCCUUUCACUGAAUUCCUUCUGCUCUGAGACAUAAAGAAUCUGAACUUCAGUAAGUCCUGGCAUUUCAAUUAAAAGAGAGUGGGUUCAAGUCCUAAUCCGAGUUGUAGGGUUUCCAUAAGAAGUCCUCAAAAACAAAAACAAAGCCGCCACCUAAGAGAAUGGCGAAAUUCAAAAAGAGGAGGGGCUUGUUUUUAAUCCUUAAAUAGCUGAGUCCCUUCAAAAUUAAGAAGUCACUGUUUCCCCAGACAGUAGGCCAACAGAAAGAAGGACAUGUCCUUGGACCUAUCUUUCUGUGGCUGUCACAGCUGAGACAAAGCUGCGGGCCCUGCUGAGGAAGUGCAGCAGGGCUCUGGCACUGGCUGUGCCCUGCACAUGCAGCACCCCCCUUCAGAGAGCCAAGGUCUCUGUUUCCUUCCAGCAGGAACCAUAGAUGCUUCGUAGGAAAAUACAGGAAUUCGAUGCACAUGAAGCAAAAUACAACUAGCUCAGGGAGAGGGGGAGAGUUUUCCUGAAAUCCAUGAGUUUCCCUGGUUUCACAUGACACCGUGUAGGGUUUAUAAUUCACGUACCACAGGAGGCUGAACAUUGUCAUUUCCUGCCCCCUCCAAUGGUGGUUUUCCAGUGAGGAGAACAUUGUGACUAACCAGUGCUGUUUUUUUUUUUACUCUGAGUCUUCAUGUUUGUGAAACAAAGCUGGCUUAUACUUGCAGGGGGAGGGGCUGAGGAGGUGGGCUGCAGAGAAGCAACCUGGAGCUGGUCUUAUUAUCAAUCAUCUCCGCCGGUUGUGAGAGUUUUGACAAGAAAAACCUACCCACACAGACGGGCACUGCUGUGCAUUUACAGCAUGUUACUUAGAGCAUUUAUGAGACAUCAUCUAACGUUCUAUCAGAUGAGUCUUUCAAUAUAAAUAUUCAGGCCGACUGAGAUUGUUUGAACUUUGUAACAUCCGAACUUGAUUAUGAAACAGGCAAGAGAGACUCUAUGCAUAUUUUCACUGGUUCACUUAGUCUUUCAUAUGUUGAAGGGUGUAUGCGUGUGCUUGUGUGUGUGUGUGUUAGGGGUGGAAUUUUCAAAUCUGGAGCUUCUAUGUAACAUGUAUUUGCUGUGGUGCUUGCAUGACGCUGAUGUUCAGCAGAGGUCGGCUAAGCGAACCUGUAGUUUGCUCGGGUUUCAUCACCAGUGAUUUCUUCUCUUGGGUAUGGUGGUUGUAAAACACUGCUGUGCGUGAAGGCCACGGGGGCCCUCACUCAGCCCUUCAGGAAGGCCGCCUGUGAUCCGAGGAACCUGCUGUUUGAGGUGCAGUCAGCUGUCAGAGGAAAUGGCUCUCAGGGACGGUCAGUGAACAGGCAGCUUCCAGAGCUAAGAAGCCCAGUCCUGAGGAGGGAGGGCCCACACUCUCAGGAAGGUAAUAUCAUGUCACCAGAGGCGACCUUGAGUCCCUCGCACCGAGUGGAUGCAGGCAGAGAAGGCUGUUACGGAGCUGAAAUGAUCAGCACAUACAUGAUCCGGACUUUCAGAUCCAGAAAUUGUCGCUCUCUCUCCAGCACUGCCCAGAGGGGAAGGGGAGAGGAUGACUUGACCAAUGAGUCAUAUUACUCUGUGCUCUGGGACAGACUCCCAACAACGGAGACGCAGGCAGGAAGCCUCAUGUUGUAUGUACCCUUGACCAGGUGGUCGCUGUAUUUUGCAUGAAGUAUGAAUUAACUAGACUUACGGCUGAUACGUCAGUUUCGUAUGGGUUUUGGUUAAGCAAGAGGCAGUUCUAAGCCAACCACUCCUGGUGCUGUAACUCAUCAUUUCUUGCCCUGAGAAGCCCAGGACCAGUCUGGGGGCUCAUCAGGGCAGUACCCCUGGGAACCCAGCCUGCCCAGCUAACUAGCCCCCUCAGUGACACAUCCAGUGUCUCUCUGACUGCAUCCAGAGCCUGUGGAGGGCAAGUGCCCAUCUCAUUACAACACUUGAGUUCAGAGUUGUGACACCAACAUCUGAUACAUCUCAUGUGAUUCAUAACUAUUCAUCAAAAAGCAGUUAUGCUUCAGCUGGUCUUAAAAAGAGACACUCCCAAAGUCCCUCCAGGAAUAAACGUUUGAAGGAGAACCUUCCUGAAUGGACAAAACUAUUUCCAGUGGAGCAAGAAACCUGGAAUCUUGUCUAAGAAAAUGAAAAGAAGUUCCACGUACAUUCACCUUAGAAGGCCCCUUGAUCUGUAACACCAGCCAGCUUCAUCAUCUCGCUGAUCACCCCAGGAAAGGAACCACCUGCAGGCUGCCUGGUGGCUCGGAGGUGUCCUGAGUGACCAUACUGCUUCCUACCGGCGCUCUGGGCUGGAUGCUGACAAAGCCAGAUGGGUAACUUUCAGGGAACUGGCAGUGUGAGAUGUUAAAAAAGAUGCAACCACAGUGGUGUGAGAAAGGAUGGAAGGAGAACCAGGGGAGAAGGCGAGCAGGAGGCGUGCAUGUGUUGAAGCCUCGAGUGAGUGGCGUCUGAGGGGGAGGGGCAGGGAGACCGGGUGGUAGUGGCAGGAGAGGCGAAGGGGUGAAAGGGGUGAAGGGAUGGGAGGUGGAGAGGCCAACGUGGGCUGUGUCGGCAGGAGCACCCGUGUCCUUUCUUCAGGCGGCAGCAGCAUGACCACCCUGGGAACACCUCCCUGGCUUGGUUUUGAGGAGUGGCCAGUCCCCAGCUCUGGCUCCAGCUCCAGCUCCAGGACUGACUGACCACAGCAUUGCAUCCUCCGGCUGCAGGGGAGGGUUCCAAACCAGGUCAGCGAUGCCAGUGGAACUGGCUUCCAGAACUGUUACUGUGAACUGCAAAGAAGUGUUCUUUUUUGCUGCCCUUAUGAAGCUAAGCUUGCCAGGAGCCGCCAUCUGAAGAAGUCAGCCCACAGAAGGGGCAGCCUGGAGAAAAGCAGAGCCAGGCUGCGGGGAGGAAGCCAGGCCUACCUCUCCCCAACAGUGGGUGCGGAGCCCACAGGGCACACACCGCUGGACACCCACUUCUCAGGACAGUGGCGUAGCUGUGUUGAAAGGACCAGCCCUCAUUCUUUCUAGUAUAUACUACGCAAACCUGAACCACGCUUGCUGAAAGGAGACACUUGGAACGCAGUGGCUUCUUAGCAGGUGACAGUUAUUUUGUCAGGACAUGACAAGCGCCUAUCAUCCGGGGGAGGUCCAGCUCUCACUCUCAGGACAAAGUCACAGAUUUCCAAAAGGACCCUGGAAAGGCCUCAGGAAGUUGCCACCCGGGAGAGUGUUUCUCCAAGGCCCUGCGUGUCCAGACUCCCCUCAUGGCAGGACAGACCUCAGCUCCCUCGGGGUUUACGUGAGGGCGCUUGUGGAGAAUCCAUCUCUAAUGCCACAGUCGUGGAGAUCAGGCCACAUGGGCACAUGGCAGCUGAGCCCCUGUGAGAGAAGGACAGGCUUCAGCCACCACCUUGGCCUUCGAGGGCUGUAGCUCACGGACAGAGAGAGUAUGACCUGGCUGUUACAUGUUAUCCUGCACUGUGCCCACCCCCACCCCUCAUUCCCCCACCUCUUUUUUUUUCCUUUGUGACCUUUAUUGCUAAAUUCAUUAAGGCACGUGCGCAUCUGGGCAGUUCUGCUGUAUUACCAUCCACUCCCGCUAAGUUAUCACCAUCUAAUCACACCCUGUGUGGAUCAGCACCCCAAUAUCAACUGCCAGGUCGGUCCAUGUGGAGAACACUUUGACAUCUGGAUUGUCUUUUCCCUAGCAUGUGGCGAAAGCUCAAGGGGGCAUUUUCAGAAAGUAUACUCUGUGGUAGUUCUAAAAUAGUCCUUGGAAAACUAUAUGGAGAUGCCUCAAAAAAUUAAAAACAGAACUAGUAAUUAGGAUCCAAAAAUAACGAGCCAGUAAUUCCACUCCUGGGUAUUAUCCAAAGAAAAAGAAAACACUAAUUCGAAAAGAUAUCUGCACCCCUAUGUUCACUGCAGCAUUACUUACAACAGCCAAGAUAGGAAAACAAUCUAAUACCCCUCGAUAGAUGACGUGGCGUGCGUGCGUGUAUGCGUGUAUGCGUGGCGUGGUGUGUAUGUGGAGAGAGAAAGAGAGAGGAAGUGGAAUAUGACUCAGCCACAAAAAAGAAUGAAAUCUUGUGAUUUGUGACAACAUGGAUGGACCUAGAGGGUAAAUUACACCUGAGUAAUUACACCUAAAUGCUAAAUUUUAAGAUAAAUCAGUCAGUCCUAUAGGUGUAAUGUCCAACAUGAUAAAGAUAAUGAAUGUCACUGUAUGUCAUGCAUGAAAGUUGUUAAGAGAGUUAUCAUAUAUCAUAAAAUAUGUAUUUUUUCCCUGUUUCUUUCAUGCUGUAUCUGUAUGAGAUGAUGGAUGUUCACUCAAGCUAUAGCCAUCUUUUCAUGACAUAUGCAAGUCAACUCAUUACGCUAUACACAUUAAACUUACAUGGGGCUGUGUGUCAAUUAUCUCUCAAUAAAACUGGAAGAAAAAUACAA